The sequence is a small nucleolar RNA, 212 nucleotides long. Its record names the gene U3. It matches the Rfam family "Small nucleolar RNA U3". Rfam says of the family: Small nucleolar RNAs (snoRNAs) are involved in the processing and modification of rRNA in the nucleolus. The record is from Ensembl.
AAGAUCAUAUUUUCAGGAUCAUUUCUAUAGUCUUUGACUUGAGAAAUAUCGUAGGAAAGUGAUCCGUUACUCUAACCACGAUGAAGAGAACUGAUGUUCCCUUCUGAGCGCAGCGGCAGUGAGUGAUGAUGCAUUUCAUCCGCUCCUUGCCAUUGAUGACUGUUCCAUGCUCUCUAGUGGAGCCUGGAGGUAGGGAUCAUGAUCAGAGUGGU